Molecule: long non-coding RNA, 666 nt
Organism: Xenia sp. Carnegie-2017
Lineage: Eukaryota; Metazoa; Cnidaria; Anthozoa; Malacalcyonacea; Xeniidae
Exons: 2
Source: RefSeq, a predicted model, not a curated record
AAUUAACUCUCUUCGAGCACAAAUCGCCAUCAUCGAGGGUUGUUUCAGCGUAUUGCCACAGGAAAUGACGACAAUUAAAGAGAAUGUAUCAAAGCAAAUGAACACGGCAACAGAUCUACUGAGGGAAAUUGAGUGGGCAGAUGUAGUUGGAAGAGCUGAAUAUGAGGCUUUGUGCGCUCGUGUUUGGUCAUUAGAAGCUAAGAAUGAAUUCUUAGAAGAAAAGGUAAGGUCAUUGAAAAAUGAAAAUACGAGGGCAAAUGCUGAAAUAGAAGAAGAGAGGGAAAGUUGGAAAAAUUGGAGGCGGGAAAUUGAAAAUUGGAAGCGGGAAGUUGAAAACAAGAUAAAUGCGACGAAUUAGGUGAAUAUGCUGAAAAUAGCAACAACAAUUUCAUGGAGCAACUGCACAAGAAAAAUUAGCACUUACCUUGAAGCAUGGGAGCAUAUAUUUCACAAAAAAUAUACUAUUGCAAAGACUUUUAACUAAUAAUAAUGUAAUUUACCUUCCUAUAUGCCAAUUGGCAAGUCUACUGUUAAUUAUAAGCACUUAAUUUUAACAUUGAUAUAGCUACCAUAUUCAUUAGAUAAACAGUACUCAGUAAAACAAAUUGAAGAUGUAAUAACAUGUACUAAGAUUUGUAUCAAUAAACUAAACUUUUUCCUAUUUCA